CAUCUAAUGGUUUCAGAAUGUAGGUCUAUUGGGGCUACACAACAGGUUCGCCUGCGAGACCUGAAGAGAGUCACAUGUUUGGGCCACCUAGCAGUCCAACCCGAGUUAAUCCAAAGAAUAAAGGAAGCGCAGUCAGUCGACCCCGCCCUGGUAACCCGCAAGAAGAGUGCAGAACAGGGAGUGAGCUCAGAAUUUCAGAUCUCCGCCGACGGAUUGAUUCGUUUCAGGGACAGAGUGUGUGUCCCAGAUGACAG
Molecule: long non-coding RNA, 254 nt
Filed under: Carica papaya (papaya)
Lineage: Eukaryota; Viridiplantae; Streptophyta; Magnoliopsida; Brassicales; Caricaceae
Description: long non-coding RNA (CPAP_LNC014933)
Source: RNAcentral